GCACUCAUGGCUCAGUUGGUAGAGCGCGUCACUAGUAGGACGAAUCAAUCCGUGAUGACGAGGUCCAGAGUUCGACUCUCUGUGGGUGCA
Non-coding RNA from Coccidioides immitis RMSCC 2394, 90 nucleotides. NCBI's taxonomy places the organism in Eukaryota, Fungi, Ascomycota, Eurotiomycetes, Onygenales, Onygenaceae. The record is from Rfam.